Molecule: transfer RNA, 71 nt
Filed under: Loxodonta africana (African savanna elephant)
Lineage: Eukaryota; Metazoa; Chordata; Mammalia; Proboscidea; Elephantidae
Rfam family: tRNA
About the family: Transfer RNA (tRNA) molecules are approximately 80 nucleotides in length.
Source: Rfam by way of RNAcentral
GCAAUGGUGGCUCAGUGGUGGAAUUCUCACCUUCCAUGCAGGAGACCCAGGUUCGAUUCCUGGCCAGUGUA